GACGAACGCUGGCGGCGUGCCUAACACAUGCAAGUCGAGCGAGUGGAGUUCUUCGGAACAAAGCUAGCGGCGGACGGGUGAGUAACACGUGGGCAACCUGCCUCAUAGAGGGGGAAUAGCCUCCCGAAAGGGAGAUUAAUACCGCAUAAGAUUGUAGCUUCGCAUGAAGUAGCAAUUAAAGGAGCAAUCCGCUAUGAGAUGGGCCCGCGGCGCAUUAGCUAGUUGGUGAGGUAACGGCUCACCAAGGCGACGAUGCGUAGCCGACCUGAGAGGGUGAUCGGCCACAUUGGGACUGAGACACGGCCCAGACUCCUACGGGAGGCAGCAGUGGGGAAUAUUGCACAAUGGGGGAAACCCUGAUGCAGCAACGCCGCGUGAGUGAUGACGGCCUUCGGUUGUAAAGCUCUGUCUUCAGGACGAUAAUGACGGUACCUGAGAAGGAAGCCACGGCUAACUACGUGCCAGCAGCCGCGGUAAACGUGU
Molecule: ribosomal RNA, 483 nt
Filed under: uncultured bacterium
Lineage: Bacteria
Description: bacterial SSU rRNA
Rfam family: Bacterial small subunit ribosomal RNA
Source: RNAcentral